This is a small nuclear RNA of Rhipicephalus microplus (southern cattle tick), 163 nucleotides long. RefSeq annotates it as U1 spliceosomal RNA. NCBI's taxonomy places the organism in Eukaryota, Metazoa, Arthropoda, Arachnida, Ixodida, Ixodidae. The record is from RefSeq and is a predicted model, not a curated record.
AUACUUACCUGGUGUCGGAUUCCUGGUGGUCACUGGGGCCGGGAACCCGUGCGGAGGCCCGUCCAUUGCACUGCGGUGGGCUGAAGCACGCCACUACCCCAAAGCGGGGUAGGUGGGACAUGUAAUUUGUGGUAGUGGGGCUAGGCGUACGCGCCAGCCCCUU